This 288-nucleotide long non-coding RNA is filed under the name Mytilus galloprovincialis (Mediterranean mussel). Lineage: Eukaryota; Metazoa; Mollusca; Bivalvia; Mytilida; Mytilidae. The record is from RNAcentral.
GUGUCAUGAUGUAUGUACAACUUCCUAGGUCAAAGGUCAAGGUCAAAAAACUUUGGUUUCAGUUGACAACCCUGUGUCCUGUGGUGAAGAUCGUGUCCGCUCUAUAUCUUGAGAACCGUUAUGAUUAUUUCAAAGUUUAUACUUGACAUGUAUAUGAACCAACACCAGAGGGUGUGUCAUAAUUUAUGAACAACUGCCUAGGGCAAAGUUCAAGGUCAGAAACUUUGGUUUCAGUUGACAACCCAUGUCCUAUGGUAAAGAUUGUGUCCGCUCUAUAUCUUGAGAACC